GAAGAAGGCCCAGCCCUGGCUCACAGCUGAGUCACAUUACAACUCCCUCUCCGGUAAGCUGGAGGAGAGAAUGCCAAACCACCGGAAGACCAGUCAUGUGGGCUUUCCGGGGCAGCAGGUACAUCUGGGCCCUCUUCAAAGGCUUGUGGAUGCCAUCACCUCAGCGUGAAAUCCUUCGACUAUCCAGUGACAUCCUAGGUACAGAUGAGCAGCAUGUCACCUCCUGAGACAUUUAUUCACCUCUGAGCCAAGAAAUAUGACCUCUUUAGGUUUUCCUGCAACGAUCUUCCAUUUCAUGGAAUGAAUGCCAGUGAAUGACUAGUCAGGCCCAGAAUAGGAAGUGCUGACUGUUUACGUGGAACAAUGCUUAUGACACAUUGUUGAGUGAUGAAGGAGGAACUCAGGACAACGUGACUCCAGUGAUUGUCAUCAUCCACCUCCGCCAUGUAUAAGAAAGUGGAACUGAGUCAUAUCCUACUGCACCAAGCAGCCCUGGUUGAUGGUUUUAGUACUGUUUAUUUUCUAUUACCACAGCAAUACUGGCUCUUUCACUCACUCCUUGUGGGUCUCUGAGCAAAUAAAUAAACUGUGUUUUAGUUUGGG
Molecule: long non-coding RNA, 603 nt
Filed under: Cricetulus griseus (Chinese hamster)
Lineage: Eukaryota; Metazoa; Chordata; Mammalia; Rodentia; Cricetidae
Description: lncRNA (ENSCGRG00015007044.2)
Source: RNAcentral